RNAcentral lists this ribosomal RNA (830 nucleotides) under Frigoribacterium faeni. Its description in RNAcentral is "bacterial SSU rRNA". It matches the Rfam family "Bacterial small subunit ribosomal RNA", at positions 547 to 1376 of the family's 1533-position model. Lineage: Bacteria; Bacillati; Actinomycetota; Actinomycetes; Micrococcales; Microbacteriaceae. The record is from RNAcentral.
GGAAUUAUUGGGCGUAAAGAGCUCGUAGGCGGUUUGUCGCGUCUGCUGUGAAAUCUGGGGGCUCAACCCCCAGCCUGCAGUGGGUACGGGCAGACUAGAGUGCGGUAGGGGAGAUUGGAAUUCCUGGUGUAGCGGUGGAAUGCGCAGAUAUCAGGAGGAACACCGAUGGCGAAGGCAGAUCUCUGGGCCGUAACUGACGCUGAGGAGCGAAAGCGUGGGGAGCGAACAGGAUUAGAUACCCUGGUAGUCCACGCCGUAAACGUUGGGAACUAGAUGUGGGGACCAUUCCACGGUCUCCGUGUCGCAGCUAACGCAUUAAGUUCCCCGCCUGGGGAGUACGGCCGCAAGGCUAAAACUCAAAGGAAUUGACGGGGGCCCGCACAAGCGGCGGAGCAUGCGGAUUAAUUCGAUGCAACGCGAAGAACCUUACCAAGGCUUGACAUAUACCGGAAACGGCCAGAGAUGGUCGCCCCGCAAGGUCGGUAUACAGGUGGUGCAUGGUUGUCGUCAGCUCGUGUCGUGAGAUGUUGGGUUAAGUCCCGCAACGAGCGCAACCCUCGUUCUAUGUUGCCAGCACGUUAUGGUGGGAACUCAUAGGAGACUGCCGGGGUCAACUCGGAGGAAGGUGGGGAUGACGUCAAAUCAUCAUGCCCCUUAUGUCUUGGGCUUCACGCAUGCUACAAUGGCCGGUACAAAGGGCUGCGAUACCGUAAGGUGGAGCGAAUCCCAAAAAGCCGGUCUCAGUUCGGAUUGAGGUCUGCAACUCGACCUCAUGAAGUCGGAGUCGCUAGUAAUCGCAGAUCAGCAACGCUGCGGUGAAUACGUUCCCG